Molecule: ribosomal RNA, 432 nt
Filed under: uncultured Sphingomonadales bacterium
Lineage: Bacteria; Pseudomonadati; Pseudomonadota; Alphaproteobacteria; Sphingomonadales
Description: bacterial SSU rRNA
Rfam family: Bacterial small subunit ribosomal RNA
Source: RNAcentral
UGGCAGCAGUGGGGAAUAUUGGACAAUGGGCGAAAGCCUGAUCCAGCAAUGCCGCGUGAGUGAUGAAGGCCUUAGGGUUGUAAAGCUCUUUUACUGGGGAUGAUAAUGACAGUACCCAGAGAAUAAGCUCCGGCUAACUCCGUGCCAGCAGCCGCGGUAAUACGGAGGGAGCUAGCGUUGUUCGGAAUUACUGGGCGUAAAGCGCACGUAGGCGGCUUUUUAAGUCAGGGGUGAAAUCCCGGGGCUCAACCCCGGAACUGCCUUUGAAACUGGAGAGCUAGAAUCCUGGAGAGGUGAGUGGAAUUCCGAGUGUAGAGGUGAAAUUCGUAGAUAUUCGGAAGAACACCAGUGGCGAAGGCGACUCACUGGACAGGUAUUGACGCUGAGGUGCGAAAGCGUGGGGAGCAAACAGGAUUAGAUACCCGUGUAGUC